Molecule: unclassified non-coding RNA, 234 nt
Filed under: uncultured Spizellomyces
Lineage: Eukaryota; Fungi; Chytridiomycota
Description: sequence contains ITS2
Source: RNAcentral
AAAUCUCACAAACCUCGUUUUCUUCGGAGAUCGGGAGGCGUGGAUUUGGGAGCUUUUGCGGCUUUGCCUGCGAUGCACCUGUAAAUGAUUGUGACGUGCGCCAAUUGUCGUGUCAACUGGUCGUCCGAAGCGCAACAGAUUCAUCUAUUCGUUUUGGUCGUCUGCUGGCUGAUUUGGAGGCACGGUACUCAACUUAUCAACCGGGGUCCUGCGAUUUUGCAGGACUUGCUGAUA